GUGUCAGCCGCCGCGGUAAUACGAAGGGGGCAAGCGUUGUUCGGAAUGACUGGGCGUAAAGGGCGCGUAGGCGGUUCGUUGCGUCAGAUGUGAAAGCCCCGGGCUCAACCUGGGAACUGCAUUUGAUACGGGCGGGCUUGAAUCCAAGAGAGGGUGGUGGAAUUCCCAGUGUAGAGGUGAAAUUCGUAGAUAUUGGGAAGAACACCAGUGGCGAAGGCGGCCACCUGGCUUGGUAUUGACGCUGAGGCGCGAAAGCGUGGGGAGCAAACAGGAUUAGAAACCCUAGUAGUCC
Molecule: ribosomal RNA, 292 nt
Filed under: uncultured bacterium
Lineage: Bacteria
Description: partial 16S ribosomal RNA
Rfam family: Bacterial small subunit ribosomal RNA
Source: RNAcentral